AUGACUGGACAGUCUGCCCCCACUGUGACUUCCCUGCCCUCUAUUCAGAAUUCAAGAACAUGUUACAGAGUGAAAAUAUAUGUCCAAUGUGUUCUGAAAGAAUUAACAUUGUUCAUCUUAAGAAAAUCAGUGACUGCACACAGUACCUCAAACAAGACACGGACCAGUAAGUUCAGAACAGCCUGUCUUGCUCAGCAAGCUGCAAGGAACUCUAUCACUGCAUCACAUGCUUUCUCCACUGGGAUUUAACAACCAUAUCACUUCUAUUUUGUGAUAAUCUGUAAAUAUUUAGCUUUUGAUAAAUUUUGUACUUUGAUUUAUUAUAGUAAUAAACACCAUUGAUUAAAUUAAAAUCUUACCA
RNAcentral lists this long non-coding RNA (361 nucleotides) under Anas platyrhynchos platyrhynchos (common mallard). Its description in RNAcentral is "lncRNA (ENSAPLG00000021131.1)". Lineage: Eukaryota; Metazoa; Chordata; Aves; Anseriformes; Anatidae. The record is from RNAcentral.